UGACACCAAGAGUCCUUCAGAACAUGUGACCUUCCUGCUCACAACAUAAAACUCAGCUUUCUGUGGCCUCUAUAGUUCGUCCCAUCCAAGACAAAGGCAACACUUCAACAACAGAUGUGAACUGGAACAUGAAGAAUGAAAAUGAAACAGACCCAUAUCCAGCUUAAGGACGGACUCAUCCAUCAAUCCUGGAAAACAGUAUUUAUAAUAAUCUUUUAAGUGCACAUCUUCCAGCAUGUUCUUGCUGCCCAGUGGAGGCUCCUGAUCUGGACUUCUGCAGUGUCACGCUCCGUGUAUUUGACAAGCUGAGUUGGACACUCUGUGUGGUAGAGUGUCAGUUUGUCAAAUACCCCAAGUGUGGCUCAUGCCUAUCAGCUCCGGGUCCAGGACAGAGCAAAUAACCUGCUGGCUAUAUAUGAAUGUUUAUGAAACAUGAAGCACUCUGGAGUUAUUGCAUGGCUUUGAGGGAACUAUAGCAUUUAUUCAGAGGACAUUAGAGUAGAAACGAUGCAGCUCUGGGGCCUACAAGUCUGGUAUGCUUCUGUAUACAUUCUGAAAAUGCCAUGGACUGCACAGUGGUCUUGAAAAUGCAUAAGGGAUACUGAGAAUGAGAGUAUUAUUUGAUUUAUUAUUAAUGUCUUGUUUCCCAUUCCUCUUCUUGCAGCCAGGACAUACAAGCAUCACAAAUUCUUUGAGAAAGUAGGAAAUAAAUACCCACUGUCUGCCCUUCGGAGGACAUAUUAUUAGCCUUACCUACAUUUUCUCUUUUCCUCUUUGCUUUUAUCCUCUUUAAAACAGCCUUCUUAUUUCUCUUCACUGGACUUUCAGACCUUACCAAAUUCCAAUUUCUCUUGGCACUAUUGAAAAUUAACCUAUACUUUUCUUUACUCAUUGCCUAACCACAUACUAGUAUGUGCUCUUUUAUGUCCUACCACUAAAUAUAUCUUCUAAAGUUGUCAAUGAAUUUUUCCAGGGUUUGUUCUUGAAUUUCCUAUUUUAUUGUAAGAGUCUAGAGCUUAUUAUACUUGCUUGAAUGCUGUCUCUCCUACCAUUGUACAACAUUUUAAUUAUUUAAUAAAGGUUUACCAGUUAA
Molecule: long non-coding RNA, 1093 nt
Organism: Apodemus sylvaticus (European woodmouse)
Lineage: Eukaryota; Metazoa; Chordata; Mammalia; Rodentia; Muridae
Exons: 3
Source: RefSeq, a predicted model, not a curated record